GAGGUGGGGUAGUCUGGAUAUCCCGUCGGGCUCAUAACCCGGAGAUCGAUGGUUCAAAUCCAUCCCUC
RNAcentral lists this transfer RNA (68 nucleotides) under Methanobacteriota archaeon. RNAcentral describes it as "Euryarchaeota archaeon tRNA-Met". It matches the Rfam family "tRNA". From Rfam's summary of the family: Transfer RNA (tRNA) molecules are approximately 80 nucleotides in length. Lineage: Archaea; Methanobacteriati; Methanobacteriota. The record is from RNAcentral.